Molecule: ribosomal RNA, 498 nt
Filed under: uncultured bacterium
Lineage: Bacteria
Description: bacterial SSU rRNA
Rfam family: Bacterial small subunit ribosomal RNA
Source: RNAcentral
AAAGGAAUUGACGGGGGCCCGCACAAGCGGUGGAGCAUGUGGUUUAAUUCGACGCAACGCGAAGAACCUUACCAGGGCUUGACAUCCCCUGACAACCCAAGAGAUUGGGUGUUCAUCCUUCGGGAUGACAGGGAGACAGGUGGUGCAUGGUUGUCGUCAGCUCGUGUCGUGAGAUGUUGGGUUAAGUCCCGCAACGAGCGCAACCCUUAUCCUUAGUUGCCAGCAUUUAAGGUGGGCACUCUAGGGAGACUGCCGGUGACAAACCGGAGGAAGGUGGGGAUGACGUCAAAUCAUCAUGCCCUUUAUGUCCUGGGCUACACACGUGCUACAAUGGCCUGUACAGAGGGUAGCGAAGCCGUGAGGUGGAGCCAAUCCCAAAAAGCAGGUCUCAGUUCGGAUUGCAGGCUGCAACUCGCCUGCAUGAAGUCGGAAUCGCUAGUAAUCGCGGAUCAGCAUGCCGCGGUGAAUACGUUCCCGGGCCUUGUACACACCGCCCGU